GGGUCAAUUUCACUCAGAUUGUAAACAUUCAUAGGAGAAGGCUUUUCUUCUUCUUUUGUUAUUAUUCCUCUAAGUUUGAGAAGAUAUUUCUUUUUUAAUUUUGGAUUAUCAAUUUUAUCUAUAAAUUUUAAUAAUAAAUUUUGUUUGCUCGUUAUUACAUAGACUCUUUUUGUGGAAAGCCCUUCUUCAAAUUCAUUUUUCUCUUUUGAGAUUUC
RNAcentral lists this long non-coding RNA (215 nucleotides) under Elaeis guineensis (African oil palm). Its description in RNAcentral is "long non-coding RNA (EGUI_LNC012790)". The record is from RNAcentral. Lineage: Eukaryota; Viridiplantae; Streptophyta; Magnoliopsida; Arecales; Arecaceae.